AAAGUCGUAACAAGGUUUCCGUAGGUGAACCUGCGGAAGGAUCAUUAACACUCCAAAACUUCUCAUAGCUCUGGGAAACCAGAGUUUAUGAAACCCUAUUCACCAAUACGAACCCGGCAGGUGUGUCUGGCUUUCUGAGUCAGGCCCAUCUUGCUACUCUUUUGUCCAUUUCUUUUUUGACCCAAUAUAACAUUUCUUAUUGUCUGACUGGAAAGGCUUUACUGUCCUUCCGUUGCUCUUGCAGCUAAACCCUGUAAGGCAAUGAAAACUACAAAAACAAAAACAAAAAAACAACUCUUAGCAACGGAUAUCUUGGUUCUC
RNAcentral lists this unclassified non-coding RNA (321 nucleotides) under Basidiomycota sp. Its description in RNAcentral is "partial contains small subunit ribosomal RNA, internal transcribed spacer 1, and 5.8S ribosomal RNA". The stretch from base 1 to 47 matches the Rfam family "Eukaryotic small subunit ribosomal RNA", at positions 1785 to 1831 of the family's 1831-position model. Lineage: Eukaryota; Fungi; Basidiomycota. The record is from RNAcentral.